CCUACGGGAGGCAGCAGUGAGGAAUAUUGGUCAAUGGGCGGAAGCCUGAACCAGCCAAGUAGCGUGCAGGAUGACGGCCCUACGGGUUGUAAACUGCUUUUAUACGGGAAUAACGCGCCUUACGUGUAGGGCUUUGCAUGUACCGUAUGAAUAACGACCGGCUAAUUCCGGGCCAGCAGCCGCGGUAAUACGGAAGGUCCGGGCGUUAUCCGGAUUUUUUGGGUUUAAAGGGAGCGGAGGCCGGAUGUCAAGCGUGCUGUGAAAUGUCCGGGCUCAACCCGGGCCUUGCAGCGCGAACUGGCGUGCUUGAGUCCGCGGAAGGCAGGCGGAAUGCGGGGUGUAGCGGUGAAAUGCUUAGAUAUGACGAAGAACCCCGAUUGCGAAGGCAGCUUGCUGCAGCGGAACUGACGCUGAUGCUCGAAAGCGCGGGUAUCGAACAGGAUUAGAUACCCGGGUAGUC
RNAcentral lists this ribosomal RNA (460 nucleotides) under uncultured bacterium. RNAcentral describes it as "partial 16S ribosomal RNA". It matches the Rfam family "Bacterial small subunit ribosomal RNA", at positions 338 to 795 of the family's 1533-position model. The record is from RNAcentral.